GUAACAAAUUCUUUUAAGUUGACUCAAUAAUUUUUGUGUGUGUGUGUGUGGGUUUCAGACUUUGUACCGGGGUAUUUUUUGGGUAUUGGUGUGUUACAUGUGUCUACUGAAUUUCACUUUGUUGCAAUUUUAUAGGUGGUGCUAUCGAGCCAUUUUGCCACACCCACUUAUGAAACCCAUAUCAGAUGUAAAUUGUCUCGCACCACCGGAUGCUUGGACCCCAAUUACUGCUAUUUUCUGGUCUUUAUCCAUUCAGUCAGAUUUUGUACAGCAAAACAUCCAUGACAGCUGUUGUCCAUGCUAAAAAUGUAAUAAUUAAUGUAAACACAGAUAUCGGAUACCAGUCGUGUCUAAAGUGAAUGUAAAUAGACGUGCCAAAGAAUUGGAUAUGGUCAAAAUAUCAGAUCUGUGCAUUAAGACUUGCAUCAGGUUAUGAAUCAUAAAAAAAAGUUGCACUACUAGUUGUUGAUGUCAAACUUUGACUAAAAUUUUUAUAUAAUAUAAUUUCAUAAGUCCUUGAAUAAAUGUGACCCUGGACCACAAAACCAGUCAUAAGUGUCAAUUUUUCGAAAUUGAAAGCUGAAUAAACAAGCUUUCCACUGAUGUAUGGUUUGUUAGGAUAUGACAAUAUUUGGCACAAGAUACAACUAUUUGAAAAUCUGGAAUCUGAGGGUGCAAAAAAAUCUAAAUAUUGAGACAAUCACCUUUAAAGUUGUUCAAGUGAAGUUCUUAGCAAUGCAUAUAACUAAUCAACAAUUAAGUUUUGAUAUGUUUAUGGUAGGAAAUUUACAAAAUAUCUUAAUGGAACAUGAUCUUUACUUAAUAUCCUAAUGAUUUUUGGCAUUAAAGAAAAAUAACUUUGCUACAAAUAUACACAUGCUACGUAAGACUUGACAGAAUCCAUUCUCUUUGCUUUCACUGUCUGGGAAAGAGCAACUUGGAUAUCUACAAAAUACUUCCUUUUGAACCUGCUGAUCAUCAGACGUGACGCAGCAACGUCUUGGAAGCCCGUCUGAGCCAGUUUACUCAAGACGCACCUCGCUAAACCAUGGACAGCUGCCUUCCGUUUCAGAAACAUCCGUGGAAAGUCAUGACGUUGCUGAAUAUCCGGUCCUGAUUAGAAAUUCUCUGCUUCGGUGGUUUAUCACAGUCCAUCUCAACAGAUCUCCACUCCGGAGAAAACACAUCCCCACUCACCCCACACCCUCAGAAAAACCGCAGACUCAUUCAGAUAAACACCAUUCAUGCAUAGAAUGAAAAACCACUUUGACUCCUCACUUAAUUUGGUCAUUAAUCUUUUACAGAUCGGAUGUGCACUUCUAGGUUCGUUGGGUGAAACUUUCACAUCUGUGGUUAAUUACGAAGAGUGGAGAACGCUGAUCUUUGUGGCUACGUCUUGAUAACACAAAUCCAUGCCCAAGUGAACAGGGCGCCUUGCGCUCCAGGGAACCGACUUGUCUUCAUUUUUGGUUUAACCUGACUGUAAACUUGUCAUCAUGUUUCCCGCUGUGGUAGAAGCACCCUCAGUGUGCAGUCCCAAAAACCUGGGCAAACUUGUGAGCAAAAGUG
Labeo rohita (rohu) is the source of this 1569-nucleotide long non-coding RNA. RefSeq lists it as uncharacterized. Lineage: Eukaryota; Metazoa; Chordata; Actinopteri; Cypriniformes; Cyprinidae. The record is from RefSeq and is a predicted model, not a curated record. The transcript has 3 exons.